Molecule: ribosomal RNA, 445 nt
Filed under: uncultured bacterium
Lineage: Bacteria
Description: partial 16S ribosomal RNA
Rfam family: Bacterial small subunit ribosomal RNA
Source: RNAcentral
GUAAGGAAUAUUGGACAAUGGACGCAAGUCUGAUCCAGCCAUGCCGCGUUAAGGAUUAAGGUCCUCUGGAUUGUAAACUUCUUUUAUAAGGGACGAAAAAAGGCUUUUCUAAGUCGUCUGACGGUACCUUAUGAAUAAGCACCGGCUAACUCCGUGCCAGCAGCCGCGGUAAUACGGAGGGUGCAAGCGUUAUCCGGACUCACUGGGUUUAAAGGGUGCGUAGGCGGGCAGGUAAGUCAGUGGUGAAAUCCUAGAGCUUAACUCUAGAACUGCCAUUGAUACUAUCUGUCUUGAAUAUUGUGGAGGUAAGCGGAAUAUGUCAUGUAGCGGUGAAAUGCUUAGAUAUGACAUAGAACACCUAUUGCGAAGGCAGCUUACUACGCAUAUAUUGACGCUGAGGCACGAAAGCGUGGGGAUCAAACAGGAUUAGAUACCCGAGUAGUCC